GUUGUUCGGAAUUACUGGGCGUAAAGGGCUCGUAGGCGGCCAAUUAAGUCAGACGUGAAAUCCCUCGGCUUAACCGGGGAACUGCGUCUGAUACUGGAUGGCUUGAAUCCGGGAGAGGGAUGCGGAAUUCCAGGUGUAGCGGUGAAAUGCGUAGAUAUCUGGAGGAACACCGGUGGCGAAGGCGGCAUCCUGGACCGGCAUUGACGCUGAGGAGCGAAAGCCAGGGGAGCAAACGGG
RNAcentral lists this ribosomal RNA (237 nucleotides) under uncultured bacterium. RNAcentral's name for it is "partial 16S ribosomal RNA". It matches the Rfam family "Bacterial small subunit ribosomal RNA", at positions 540 to 776 of the family's 1533-position model. The record is from RNAcentral.